RNAcentral lists this long non-coding RNA (779 nucleotides) under Dromaius novaehollandiae (emu). RNAcentral describes it as "lncRNA (ENSDNVG00000018609.1)". The record is from RNAcentral. Lineage: Eukaryota; Metazoa; Chordata; Aves; Casuariiformes; Dromaiidae.
UCUCUGUUCUUCCUGCUCCACAGCUUCCUCUUGUCGAUGGCUACCAUUUGAUAAGAUCUCAUACGGAAUGUAGUGAGUGUCAAGAGUAUGUUGGGCAAUCUGUGAUGAGCAGGAAGACAAAUGAGGACUUCAUUCCCUACACUGCAUUAACUAAGGAGGUAGAAGACUGGAUUCAGAAGAAGAGUUACUAAGGAACUGGAGCUAACACUCUCACCGACUUCCCUGGGAAUCAUCUCCUCCCCCCAGGGUUCUGUGUUCUCAUAAAUACUUGCCUCUGCAGCAAGAGGAGACUGCCGUUCCUUUAGUCUCUGCUCUUCCUUCACUCGUGCUUUGCUCUCUCCUGCUAGCGCUCAGUGGGUUGGCCAGCUUGUUGGGAGGCCUGACUUUGGCAGCCACCCAAACCCAGUCCUCCCAGCAGCAAAGCAGCCCUGGCUCCCCUGUCCCGCGAGCAGUGUGCGAGGUACUGCGAGGGUGCCAGCAGGGCCCGCACGGAGCGGGGAGAGGCGACCGGGGGUGUUGCGUGCUGCUUGCAGAACUCGUGCACAGAAGCUCUGCAACGGAGUUUUCUUCCCCGUUGGGCUCAGUCCUGCAGAGAAACAUCCCAGGCCUCUGUCGGCACCACGGAGGGUGGCAGAAGCCAUGAGGUCCUCGCUGCUGCUGUUGGCACCAAGAAGGGAAAACGCUGCCAGAAGACUGUCUUGUGUGAACAGCGGCAAUGGCCUAAGGAGAUGAUAGCAAAAGAUGAUGUUGACACAUGCUGAUUUUAAAUGAAUUAAAGA